Molecule: unclassified non-coding RNA, 1368 nt
Filed under: Hevea brasiliensis (rubber tree)
Lineage: Eukaryota; Viridiplantae; Streptophyta; Magnoliopsida; Malpighiales; Euphorbiaceae
Source: RNAcentral
CAACAAACUCCAUACCAAAUGAUACAAGUGUCACUUACAACAACAGGUUACUCAUAAGGAACUGCAAAUAUACUAGCUUAUUUUGGGAGGCAAGUUUACAGAUAAUCCCAAUCCCCCUUGCCAUAGGAAACUGAGCAUCUGCCAGACCUACCUAAUGUGAAUAAACACUUAUUUUCGCAUAAAGAUGAGUACACUAAUAGGAUACAUGGUACUUCUUGCUUGUUAAAAUUGAAAAUUACUGCAGGUCACUUGGACAUCUUGGCAGCAAGUUCUCUUACCAGCUUCGCAGCAACCAUUGCAGUCAUGCCAUCAGCAGUAUCACGCUGUGGGUUGUACUCAACGACAUCAGCACCAACGAUAUCACCUUGAAGGUUAUGCAGUAUGUUUAGAACAUCGCGGAACGAGAGACCGCCUGACUCAAAAUGAGAUACUCCAGGAGCAAAUGCUGGAUCCAAACAGUCAACAUCCACGGAUAUAUACACGCCCUUUACACCUUCACCAAGUUUCAGAUUCUCCAAAAAUUGUCUGUCUCUGGAAAAUGUUCGCAUUUCAUAUUGCUCCACACCAAACCUUUUUCCUUGUUCUCGACCUUCUAGAUUAAUUGAUCUAAUUCCAACUUGCAAAAGGCGUCGAGCAUAACCACCCUCCAUUAUUCGUGCAAAGCUUGAUGCAUGUGAGUAUUUGUUUCCUUCAAAGGCAUGAUAAAUGUCAGGAUGAGCAUCAAGGUGAAGGAUAUCAAUAGGCCCUCCAAGCUUUUCAGACACAGCUCUUACAACAGGAUAGGAUAUAGAGUGAUCACCCCCUAACACCAAGGGGCGCAAUGGAUUCUCUUCCAUAACUAGCUUGACAGAUUCGCUUAUGAUACUCAUUAACCUAUCAUCAUCUACACCUGCAUCUCGUAACUCUUGCACAGGCACAUCACCAACAUCAGUUAAGAUGCGUGGAUCAUCUAAUUCUUUUCCUUCCUCAGUUGUAGAGUUUGUACUGCCACACCACAUAGCCUCUCGUAUACGAGGAGGAGCAAAUGCUGGCCCCUGGAGAAAUGAAGAGUUAUGUCCCAGAGGAACUCCAAGAAGAGACGUUGAGGCUACAGCACCUCCAAGAGCACGAACAAGCUCUCCCUUAAGUUUUGCUCUUUCACGAAUAAGUGUAAGAGAUGCCUCUAUAACACGAUUCUGUCCUUUUUCCACCAAUUCUUUUGGAACAUUUGACGCGUGCAAUUUCUGCAUAUAAUGGAUUCCCAUUCUUCCAGCACUCCUCAUAUUUGUUUAUUCUGAUUAUCCUACAACUGCAAGAAAGAGUGAUGAGAGCAAAAAAAGAAGGCAAUCGCUGAGUUUAAAAAAGAAGAAGACAUGCAGUCGUUUUUAG